CAAGCAUUGGAAUGGUUUGCCCAGGGUGGUGGUGUAGUCACACUCCCUGGGUUUUAAGGAAUGGUUUUAAAAAAUCCCUGUUUUUUAAGGAACUCCCUGGUGUUUAAGGAAUUGUUUGAUGUGAUACGUAGGGACAUGGUUUAGUGGGUAAUAUUGGUGGUGGGCGUGGUUGGACCAAAUGAUCUUGAAGACCUUUUCAACAUUUAUGAUUCAUGACCAUGAUAGUUUUCACAGUGAUUGAUUGAAAAGGGAGGAUUGAUUGCAACUUGAGUCUGAAUUGGUAAUGAGACACUCAUAAGAAGUAGACACACAGAUCAUAGAAUCAUAGAAUCAUAGAAUCAUAGAAUAUCCUGAGUUGGAAGGGACCCUUAAGGAUCAUGCUAACUCAGGUUGGAGAUGAGAACUUGGGAAAACAGGGAUUUGUGAACUGUUCAGUGCCAAACAUUGUUUUCAAAUACAGUUGGCUUGGAAAUGAAUACUUGAAGCUGCAAGGUUGUCAGCAAACUACUAUGUUUCCAGUUUUCUGA
RNAcentral lists this long non-coding RNA (527 nucleotides) under Anas platyrhynchos platyrhynchos (common mallard). Its description in RNAcentral is "lncRNA (ENSAPLG00000026474.1)". The record is from RNAcentral. Lineage: Eukaryota; Metazoa; Chordata; Aves; Anseriformes; Anatidae.